RNAcentral lists this long non-coding RNA (259 nucleotides) under Glycine max (soybean). RNAcentral's name for it is "long non-coding RNA (GMAX_LNC003521)". Lineage: Eukaryota; Viridiplantae; Streptophyta; Magnoliopsida; Fabales; Fabaceae. The record is from RNAcentral.
UUCUUUCCUAAAUAUAGAUUAAUUCUUUGUGUCACAUAAGUAGUUUUUGUUUACAAUAUUCAUCCCACUCCAAACCACAAUCGCAGCUCCUUCUAAAAUACCUACCUCUACCACCACCGUCCUAUUGAACAAAGAGAAUUAGAGAAAUAGCAACAAUAUGCGGCAAUGCAUUGACCAAAGCAUUGAAACCCCAAAUUUCUUUCUACUUAGAUUCUUGUCAGCACAAGGUAGGUAGGAUCCACUCCAUCUAGCGAAUCCC